CCCCUAGAUGUUCUGGGCCGCACGCGCGCUACACUGAACAGUUCAACAAGUCUUAACCUUGGCCGAUAGGUCUGGGUAAUCUUUGAACGCUGUUCGUGAUUGGGAUAGACCUUUGCAAUUAUGGGUCUUCAACGAUGAAUUCCUAGUAAACGCAAGUCAUCAGCUUGCAUUGAUUACGUCCCUGCCCUUUGUACACACCGCCCGUCGCACCUACCGAUUGAAUGGUCCGGUGAAAGCUCGGGACGGCGGCUUGGUCGCUUGCGUCCGACUGCUGAAACUUGAUUAAACCAUAUCAUUUAGAGGAAGGUGAAGUCGUAACA
Molecule: ribosomal RNA, 320 nt
Filed under: uncultured eukaryote
Lineage: Eukaryota
Description: partial 18S ribosomal RNA
Rfam family: Eukaryotic small subunit ribosomal RNA
Source: RNAcentral